RNAcentral lists this unclassified non-coding RNA (257 nucleotides) under uncultured fungus. Its description in RNAcentral is "sequence contains ITS1". The stretch from base 1 to 116 matches the Rfam family "5.8S ribosomal RNA", at positions 49 to 154 of the family's 154-position model. The record is from RNAcentral. Lineage: Eukaryota; Fungi.
UGAAAGGCGAAACGUAAUGUGAAUCGCAACUAACAGUGAAUCAUCGAAUCUUUGAACGCAGGCCGCACCUUUCGGUAUUACUUGUAAUACCGAAAGGUAUCUACGUAUGAGUGUCAGCCAAAUAUCCUUUUGGUUCAUGAGGGAAGUAUGAUAAAUGUGUUAUGCUCAACUCGUGAAUACACACGUGUCUUGCGACAUCACUUUGAAGCUCUGACCGUGUCUGGCCUCAUAUGUGGAAGAUUACCCGCUGGAUUUAA